GACAUUUUCUGUGAUGGAAGUGGAGA
This 26-nucleotide non-coding RNA is filed under the name Rattus norvegicus (Norway rat). Lineage: Eukaryota; Metazoa; Chordata; Mammalia; Rodentia; Muridae. The record is from RNAcentral.